UCCCUUAGUAGUGGCGAACGAAACGGGAUUAGCCCAUCACGUAGGAUCACAAUUUUAAAUGAUUGUUGAUCGGUUCCGUGUAUAGGAGGGUCCAUUAUCUUGCACAUAUAACCAUCAUAUUUAAGUCCAGCUUGAAUGCGGCUCAAUAUACCCAAAGAGGGUGCCAGGCCCGUAUAUGUAUGAUGCUUGUGUAAGUGGGCUACAAACUCCUAGGAGUCAUGUUGCUUGAUAGUGCAGCAUUAAGUGGGAGGUAAACUCCUUCUAAGGCUAAAUAUUACCAUGAGACCGAUAGCGAACAAGUACCGUGAGGGAAAGUUGAAAAGCACUCUGAAUAGAGAGUCAAAUAGUACGUGAAACUGUCUAGGGGCUCAAACCUAAAGAACCCAAAUAUCUAAACGGAGAAAUUCAAUAUUACCCCUAACCGGACGUAAUGUGCACUUUUCUCUUAGUAAGACGCCGUGAUCCAUUAGAAAUUGGUAUACGCCAAGUAUACAGUGGGUCAUCAAUAGGCCAGUGUGAAGUUUAUUGGAACAAAUGGCAUGGCCUUUAACGGUUAUGUGUAUUGUCUGAUAAGCACAUUGAUACCUGUAAUGACUGUCUGAUGGAUUUUAGAGACCAUUAUCAAUGAUACUACGGUAUCAACGCUUUGUCGUAAAUGAUAUGUGUCUGAUCAACGGCGGUUAAAUUUGGGAUACCUUUUGGACCCGUCUUGAAACACGGACCAAGGAGUCUAUCUAGUAUGCGAGUAAAUGGAUAGUUUAUGAAAUCUAUUUGCGUAAUAAACUUGACUGUUUUUCAUGGGAAUACGAUUAAUAAUUUCUAAUUAUUAUUCUUCCUUCCCGGGGUAUUUUCAUUCACAUAUAAGCAAUUAUAUGGAAAAUAUACCAUGAGCACACUGGAUACGACCCGAAAGAUGGUGAACUAUGCCUGAUCAGGUCGAAGUCAGGGGAAACCCUGAUGGAGGACCGAAGCAGUUCUGACGUGCAAAUCG
This 991-nucleotide ribosomal RNA is filed under the name Polypedilum pembai. RNAcentral describes it as "eukaryotic LSU rRNA". It matches the Rfam family "Eukaryotic large subunit ribosomal RNA", at positions 76 to 900 of the family's 3401-position model. Lineage: Eukaryota; Metazoa; Arthropoda; Insecta; Diptera; Chironomidae. The record is from RNAcentral.